Molecule: ribosomal RNA, 491 nt
Filed under: uncultured bacterium
Lineage: Bacteria
Description: partial 16S ribosomal RNA
Rfam family: Bacterial small subunit ribosomal RNA
Source: RNAcentral
GAUGAACGCUAGCUACAGGCUUAACACAUGCAAGUCGAGGGGAAACGAUGAGAGAGCUUGCUCUCUUAGUCGUCGACCGGCGCACGGGUGAGUAACGCGUAUCCAACCUGCCUCUGACCAAGGGAUAACCCGUCGAAAGUCGGACUAAUACCUUAUGCAGUCGUCGGAAGUCAUCUGAUGACGACGAAAGAUUUCAUCGGUGAGAGAUGGGGAUGCGUCUGAUUAGCUUGUUGGCGGGGUAACGGCCCACCAAGGCGACGAUCAGUAGGGGUUCUGAGAGGAAGGUCCCCCACAUUGGAACUGAGACACGGUCCAAACUCCUACGGGAGGCAGCAGUGAGGAAUAUUGGUCAAUGGGCGUGAGCCUGAACCAGCCAAGUAGCGUGCAGGCUGACGGCCCUAUGGGUUGUAAACUGCUUUUAUGCGGGGAUAAAGUGAGGGACGUGUCCUUCAUUGCAGGUACCGCAUGAAUAAGGACCGGCUAAUUCCGUG